Molecule: long non-coding RNA, 840 nt
Organism: Neofelis nebulosa (Clouded leopard)
Lineage: Eukaryota; Metazoa; Chordata; Mammalia; Carnivora; Felidae
Exons: 2
Source: RefSeq, a predicted model, not a curated record
AUACUUGAGAAAAUGUGUAGUAACUGGGGAGGACAGACACAGCUGUCUCGGAGGGCAGCACAGAGGUUCCAGAUUUAGAGAAAGGGGCAUCUGUGUGAGCUGGAGAGCUAAGGAAGGCUAGAGAAGUCUGACUUGACCCAAACUUUAGAGGCCCCGCUCAAUGUGGCCAGAUCUUGAGGUACAACUGUAAGUCUGGAUGAAGAUGCAUUACAAAGCAAAUAGAGGCUUGACGGUGAGACUACCAUGGAAAAUUUUCAGAGGAACCAAGUGGGUGCAAAAAACUUACAUAAAAGAGUUAUGGUGGCUAUGUUCCAAGCAUCAAGCAGCACUUCAGAAAUCCAGUCUCUUUCAAUUUUAUGGCCCCACCAUCAUCAACCUGUAGCUUCACAGGCCACCAAAUCCAUUUCUGCAUGAGCCUGAUAGAAGGGGAAAGAACACAAAGCAUCUUCUAUCAGAAUUUUUUUUGUGAACCAGGCCCCCAAAUGUCAUCAAUCACUUUGUCUUGCGUUCCACUGGUCAGAACCCAGUCACAUGGUCACAUCUCACUCUAAGGGAGCCUGGGAAAUGCAAUAUAUAUUUGUGCAAAGGAAGAAGAAACAGGCUUGGUGAACAACUAGACUGCUUCUGCCACUGGAGGGUUUUAUUUUCUAAGAGUGAGCCAAUUAGCUAUGUGAACGUCUGGAGAAUUUAUCCAGAAGAAAGGAGGGGUGGGAGGAAUCAAUUACUGAAAAACUGUAAAAGAACAAUGGAAGACAAAAAUAGUGUUUUGAUUACAUCUCUAAUUUGGGCUUGUUUGAAGCAUAAUUUUCAGCUGUCAAAUGCACAACACCAGGUAAUAUA